UCACUCAAUAAGACGCUCAUACACAAACCAAGUAUUAAAUCUUCUGAUACAAGAAUUCACAUAUUCAAAUUUACUACUAUCCCAAUUUAGAAUCCUUAUUUCAAAAUUCAAAACCUACAUGCUGACUCAUCCAUUUUCCUUCAGUUCCAAAUAUUAAUAUCAUUGCUCCAAUAAUCAUGGAAGAAGUUUAAAUUAGAUAAGAUGGUUGCUGCCAAUUCAAGGAGUUUUUCGAUUAUUAUCAAAUUCUGCCAUUAAGUACUAUUUGAUCAUUUCCAAUUAAAGAGAACAAAUUCUUACCACUACUACAAGCUUAUUUCAAACAAAAUCAUGACAUUUCUCUAGCUAAUUGCUAUCAACUGAUAGGAGAUCAUGACUUCUAUCCCAAUCUCAUCACAUAUUUAUCACCUUAACCAUUUUCCAACGAAAGACAUAUAAUCUCCUUUCAAAUCCUACUAAUGAGAAUCUUCAUGAAAACAAAUCGUACAUCUACUAUAUAGAGAAAAUUUAAACUCAUAGUCAAGUCCCUAAUUUAGUUUUAACUUCUCUGUUCCUCUUUCCAAUUUGUCAUACCAUACCAUUUCUUAACUAAUUAUGAUAAGAACUUAUGCAACUAGCCAAGUUAACUGUUGUCAUGCUAGAUAAUUCUUCAUUUAUUUU
RNAcentral lists this long non-coding RNA (657 nucleotides) under Jatropha curcas. RNAcentral describes it as "long non-coding RNA (JCUR_LNC001738)". The record is from RNAcentral. Lineage: Eukaryota; Viridiplantae; Streptophyta; Magnoliopsida; Malpighiales; Euphorbiaceae.